This 443-nucleotide ribosomal RNA is filed under the name uncultured bacterium. RNAcentral's name for it is "partial 16S ribosomal RNA". It matches the Rfam family "Bacterial small subunit ribosomal RNA", at positions 338 to 795 of the family's 1533-position model. The record is from RNAcentral.
CCUACGGGAGGCAGCAGUGGGGAAUAUUGGACAAUGGGGGGAACCCUGAUCCAGCGACGCCGCGUGAGUGAAGAAGUAUCUCGGUAUGUAAAGCCCUAUCAGCAGGGAAGAAAGAAAUGACGGUACCUGAUUACGAAGCCCCGGCUAACUACGUGCCAGCACGCGCGGGAAUACGUAGGGGGCAAGCGUUAUCCGGAUUUACUGGGUGUAAAGGGGGCGUAGACGGCGAUGCAAGGCUGGAGGGAAAGGCGGGGGCCCAACCCCCGGACAGCCUUGGAAACUGUAUGGCUGGAGUGCAGGAGAGGUAAGUGGAAUGCCUAGUGUAGCGGUGAAAUGCGUAGAUAUUAGGAGGAACACCGGUGGCGAAGGCGGCUUACUGGACUGUAACUGACGUUGAGGCUCGAAAGCGUGGGGAGCAAACAGGAUUAGAUACCCUAGUAGUC